Molecule: long non-coding RNA, 1274 nt
Organism: Oncorhynchus tshawytscha (Chinook salmon)
Lineage: Eukaryota; Metazoa; Chordata; Actinopteri; Salmoniformes; Salmonidae
Source: Ensembl
UUAAAGUCUACCGGUCUAACUCUCUAUCCUGCCUUCUAUGCGCCAUUCAUAGUGGCAAUAGUGGUAGGUAUAUAAUUUGUCCACAUCUAGGCUAACUAUCAAUAUAAAGGGAGUGGCUCCUAAUGCGUGACCGGAUCUUUUAUUUCUGAGGCUCGUAAAUAUAGCAUCAAAAUGCUGAAAAUCUGAUUUCCCCGAGCUGAUCACUGUCUGCAGUUGGCUCUGAUCGUAGUGUAACGAAACAGGCAGAGAGAGUGAGCUCGUCCGUCCGUAGACCUGCGUAGCAUCGACUGUGCCAAAAAAAUCUAUAUCCACAUUUUUAAAUAGAGUUAUUGUUAUUUGUGGUCGUAAUCAUUAUUUUUUAGUUAAUAACAUUUUUUACAAGGGGAGAGUUAUGUGAGAAUAUAUUUAACAUUGGGUGGGGUGUGUAUAUUUUUUAAUGACAGAUCAAGUUGUACAACCACCAAUGACUCUCUGUUCCAUUACAUUACACAGUCAUUGUCUGCUGUACAGGGGAGUUUUGUGAAGAGCCAAUCUGAACAUGAACAAGUCUCGCUUUUGUUACGGUUUAGGAAGCACAAGGACCUUAUAUUUCAUAUCAAUGAGAAAUGAUUUUCUAAAAACAAAAGGUUAAAUUGAUACACACCUUGAUAGGGUUAAGGUUAGUGUUCCCACAUGGCCAUAUCUACAUGUUACAGCACUUGUUUACGGAAGACAGAGGUGACCACCUUUGCUAAUUAGCUAUCUAGCAUGCUCCAAACACCUUUGUGUAAGCGUAACUUGGGAAGUGUAGUGGAAGUGUAGUUUCGUUGGAUGGAGGAACCAAUAGCUGUAUGGAUCUGCGCAAAAUCCCCUACACUUGUAGCAGCACAACCAAGGGGGAGGAGAAUGGGCCUGCCAAUAAAACAAAAUAGCCUUCCAAGUGGAAAGUAGAGGUUUGGAAGAGAAGGAUGCCGGGUAAAUCCUACUUUGGCAGGGAAAAGAUAAUUGAGUUGACUAUGACUAUUCAUAUCUGCAUUGUUUGAUUAUUUAUUACAUACAUGAUUCUUACUAGAAAACUUUUAUUCCAUGCUGAAAUGUCUGAUUUGCAUACUAGUAACAUGAUUAAUAGUGAAAUUUCGAUAUGAAUGGUUUUACUGUUGUACCAUUUACCUGAUACUACUUGAUAUUUCAAUCUGAGUAAAAAAUUCAACAUCACACUUUGUGUAAAUAGUUUUAGGACGCAUUCACAAUCACAUUUACCUGAAAUUAUAUUGUGAAAUAAAUGUUAAUUCAUG